Molecule: non-coding RNA, 113 nt
Organism: Acanthosepion pharaonis
Lineage: Eukaryota; Metazoa; Mollusca; Cephalopoda; Sepiida; Sepiidae
Source: the annotation of a GenBank genome assembly
UUACAGCCAUAUCACGUUGAAACACCAGUUGUCAUAAUCACUGAAGUUAAGCAAUGUUGAGACUGGUUAGUACUUGAAUGGGUGACUGCUUGGGGAUUCAAGGUGCUGUAAGC